GAUGAACGCUAGCUACAGGCUUAACACAUGCAAGUCGAGGGGCAGCAUUAUCUUAGCUUGCUAAGAUAGAUGGCGACCGGCGCACGGGUGAGUAACACGUAUCCAACCUUCCGGUUACUCGGGGAUAGGCUUUCGAAAGAAAGAUUAAUACCCGAUGUUGCGUAUCUUUCUCCUGAAAGAUACGCCAAAGGAUUCCGGUAACCGAUGGGGAUGCGUUCCAUUAGGCAGUUGGCGGGGUAACGGCCCACCAAACCUUCGAUGGAUAGGGGUUCUGAGAGGAAGGUCCCCCACAUUGGAACUGAGACACGGUCCAAACUCCUACGGGAGGCAGCAGUGAGGAAUAUUGGUCAAUGGACGGAAGUCUGAACCAGCCAAGUAGCGUGAAGGAUGACUGCCCUCUGGGUUGUAAACUUCUUUUAUACGGGAAUAACAUGAGGUACGCGUACCUUAUUGCAUGUACCGUUAUGAAUAAGCAUCGGCUAACUCCGUGCCAGCAGCCGCGGUAAUACGGAGGAUGCGAGCGUUAUCCGGAUUUAUUGGGUUUAAAGGGAGCGUAGGUGGGAUAUUAAGUCAGCUGUGAAAGUUUGGGGCUCAACCUUAAAAUUGCAGUUGAUACUGGUUUCCUUGAGUACGGUACAGGUGGGCGGAAUUCGUGGUGUAGCGGGUGAAAAUGCUUAUAUAUCACGAAGAACUCCGAUCGCGAAGGCAGCUCACCGGGGCCGGAACUGACACUGAUGCUCGAAAGUGCGGGUAUCAAACAGG
Molecule: ribosomal RNA, 762 nt
Filed under: uncultured Bacteroides sp.
Lineage: Bacteria; Pseudomonadati; Bacteroidota; Bacteroidia; Bacteroidales; Bacteroidaceae
Description: bacterial SSU rRNA
Rfam family: Bacterial small subunit ribosomal RNA
Source: RNAcentral